UUUUUAUUAUGUAUUUAUAUAAAAACUAGCUGACUUGGCAAAUGUUGUCUUGCCGCUAAACACUAUUUAAAAAUAAGGGUUUGUGGUAGAGGGGUGAAAAU
This is a long non-coding RNA of Melitaea cinxia (Glanville fritillary), 101 nucleotides long. RefSeq lists it as uncharacterized. The record is from RefSeq and is a predicted model, not a curated record. The transcript has 3 exons. Lineage: Eukaryota; Metazoa; Arthropoda; Insecta; Lepidoptera; Nymphalidae.